CGAUGUAGAACAUAGAUGAAUAACGCCACGUCGUGUGGCAUCAUCUAUGUGACUCACAUCCUGUGAG
This 67-nucleotide small RNA is filed under the name Psychrobacillus sp. OK032. Its description in RNAcentral is "Bacillaceae-1 RNA". It matches the Rfam family "Bacillaceae-1 RNA". Lineage: Bacteria; Bacillati; Bacillota; Bacilli; Caryophanales; Bacillaceae. The record is from RNAcentral.